CAGUAGCCACGGGAAUACAGAGGGUGCAAGCGUUAAUCGGAAUUACUGGGCGUAAAGCGCGCGUAGGUGGUUAGUUAAGUUGGAUGUGAAAUCCCCGGGCUCAACCUGGGAACUGCAUUCAAAACUGACUGACUAGAGUAUGGUAGAGGGUGGUGGAAUUUCCUGUGUAGCGGUGAAAUGCGUAGAUAUAGGAAGGAACACCAGUGGCGAAGGCGACCACCUGGACUGAUACUGACACUGAGGUGCGAAAGCGUGGGGAGCAAACAGGAUUAGAUACCCCUGUAGUCCCUGUCUCUUAUAU
RNAcentral lists this ribosomal RNA (301 nucleotides) under uncultured bacterium. RNAcentral describes it as "partial 16S ribosomal RNA". It matches the Rfam family "Bacterial small subunit ribosomal RNA", at positions 509 to 809 of the family's 1533-position model. The record is from RNAcentral.